RNAcentral lists this ribosomal RNA (422 nucleotides) under uncultured bacterium. RNAcentral's name for it is "bacterial SSU rRNA". It matches the Rfam family "Bacterial small subunit ribosomal RNA", at positions 355 to 774 of the family's 1533-position model. The record is from RNAcentral.
UGAGGAAUAUUGGGCAAUGCCCGAAAGGGUGACCCAGCAACGCCGCGUGGAGGAUGAAGGUCGUAAGAUUGUAAACUCCUGUUAGAGGGGAAGAAUAACUAAGUUUGGAGCUUAGUAUGACUGUACCCUCAGAGAAAGCCCCGGCUAACUACGUGCCAGCAGCCGCGGUAAUACGUAGGGGGCAAGCGUUGUCCGGAUUUACUGGGUGUAAAGGGCGCGCAGGCGGAAUGGAAAGUCAGUGGUGAAAUCCUACAGCUUAACUGUAGAACUGCCUUUGAUACUUUCAUUCUUGAGUUCGGGAGAGAGAGACGGAAUUCCAGGUGUAGUGGUGAAACACGUAGAUAUCUGGAAGAACACCAGUUGCGAAGGCGGUCUCUUGGUCCGAUACUGACGCUGAGGCGCGAAAGCGUGGGGAGCAAACA